AGGAGGGUGUAGAUGUCGAUGCUAUCCGAGAAUGUAGUUGCCAUUGGAGGCUGUUGAGAAGAUUGUGUAGACCUAAACAAAUCUAAUCAGAGUUAUUGUAAUAUAUAUGGAGGUUCAAAUGGACAGUAUCCAUUUUAUGGAGCAAGUGCUGGGGCAGCUGGUGCCUGGUAUGAUUACUGCUGCAGGUGCAGCCACCGGUUUUUAUCCGUAGAUGAACAAGGCUUUGUGAUUUUAGUAAAAUGUUUUAUUUUUGUUGAUUCUCUUUCAUAGGAGCCUGAUGCACUGAUGUGUAGAUUUCAUGGUGUGUAUGAAAAGUUGAUUGAGGUUUUGUAUCGAUUAGUGUAUAAAGAACUUGGAAUCACAAAAGAAGUUCAAGAGUAAGUUAAAUUUGAUGUAUUAGCGGAGAAUAAAUGCUCAUAUGUCAAAUUUAGGGCCACCAUUUUUGUAUAUGUGAUUUGUAGAUGUAACUGUAGGAAAAAAGAACUUAUGUAAAAAAAUAACUGUGUACCCGGCCGCAACGCGGCGGGUACUUUUCUAGUUCAAACAAAUUUAAACAAUUAUAUAA
Helianthus annuus (common sunflower) is the source of this 565-nucleotide long non-coding RNA. RefSeq lists it as uncharacterized. Lineage: Eukaryota; Viridiplantae; Streptophyta; Magnoliopsida; Asterales; Asteraceae. The record is from RefSeq and is a predicted model, not a curated record. The transcript is spliced from 2 exons.